Molecule: long non-coding RNA, 534 nt
Filed under: Anser cygnoides (Swan goose)
Lineage: Eukaryota; Metazoa; Chordata; Aves; Anseriformes; Anatidae
Description: lncRNA (ENSACDG00005009365.1)
Source: RNAcentral
AAGGAAGAACUUUGGAGGACAGCAAACAUGCACUGUAGGAAAAGUCAACUUCUAGCGUAUCCUGAAUUUCCAUAAGUUAAAAUUUGCAUAGACAAUAGUCUGGUAGCAAUAUAUGAAAUAAUAGGAAUAAAGCUUUUUUUUUUUUUUUCUUCUUCUCAUUUGUUUCUCCCUAGUACUUCAUUGUUCAGGGAAAAAGGACAAAGCGGUUGAUAGAAAUAACAGUAGAAGAGUAGAAUAUGUGAUCACACUCAGGGUGGUGGUCUCCAGCUUUCACUUGAACUUUGAGAACAAGUAAAGGAAUCCAGACUGUUGAAUGAGAACUGACCCCCACAAUUUUUAGAGGUGUUAAUGUCAAUACCUGAAAUACAGUACUGCUCUGGAGAAAAGGAAUAACCGGGGAAAUAGAGAUGCACUGAGAGCUCUUGUGAUUCACUAGCAUAGAAACGUCUUAUCGGAUGAAGUUAUGAACACAUUCUGUAUGCUAUUUUCCAGCCAAGACAGACUGUAGUUUUUCUUCUCUUGUGAGCAGAAAAU